GACGAACGCUGGCGGCGUGCUUAACACAUGCAAGUCGAACGCUGAAGCUCAGCUUUUGUUGGGUGGAUGAGUGGCGAACGGGUGAGUAACACGUGAGUAACCUGCCCCCUUCUUUGGGAUAACGCCCGGAAACGGGUGCUAAUACUGGAUAUUCACUGGUCUUCGCAUGGGGGUGGGGGGAAAGGGGUUUUCUGGUGGGGGAUGGGCGCGCGGCCUAUCAGCUUGUUGGUGGGGUGAUGGCCGACCAAGGCUUUGACGGGUAGCCGGCCUGAGAGGGUGACCGGUCACAUUGGGACUGAGAUACGGCCCAGACUCCUACGCGGGGCAGCAGUGGGGAAUAUUGCCCAAUGGGCGCCAGCCUGAUGCCGCGUCGCCGCGUGAGGGCUGGGGGCCUUCGGGUUGUGAACCUCUUUCGCUCAUGGUCAAGCCGCAACCAUGGUUGUGGUGAGGGUAGUGGGUAAAGAAGCGCCGGCUAACUACGUG
This 483-nucleotide ribosomal RNA is filed under the name uncultured bacterium. RNAcentral's name for it is "partial 16S ribosomal RNA". It matches the Rfam family "Bacterial small subunit ribosomal RNA", at positions 28 to 507 of the family's 1533-position model. The record is from RNAcentral.